RNAcentral lists this ribosomal RNA (480 nucleotides) under uncultured bacterium. Its description in RNAcentral is "bacterial SSU rRNA". It matches the Rfam family "Bacterial small subunit ribosomal RNA", at positions 29 to 506 of the family's 1533-position model. The record is from RNAcentral.
ACGAACGCUGGCGGCGUGGCUAAGGCAUGCAAGUCGAACGGUCAUACGCAACGGGUAACUGGAGCGUAUGAUAGUGGCGAACGGGUGAGGAAUACAUGGAUAACGUACCCCAGACACAGGAAUAGCGGCGGGGAAGCCCUUUGCGAAAGUGCCGGUAAUACCUGAUGACCCCGACGGACCGCAUGGUUUGUCGGGCAAAGGUCAGCCGGUCUGGGAUCGGUUCAUGCCCUAUCAGCUAGUUGGCGGGGUAACGGCCAACAAAGGCUUUGACGGGUAUCGGGCGUGAGAGCGUGGCCCGACACAUCGGAACUGAGACACUGUCCGGACACCUACGGGUGGCUGCAGCAACGAGUAUCCCGCAAUGGACGCAAGUCUGACGGAGCGACGCCGCGUGCGGGAAGAAGUCUUUCGGGAUGUAAACCGCUGUCAGGGGUGAGGAAUAAAUUGACCAGCCCCAGAGGAAGCACCGGCUAACUCCGU